RNAcentral lists this long non-coding RNA (525 nucleotides) under Brassica napus (rape). RNAcentral's name for it is "long non-coding RNA (BNAP_LNC018286)". Lineage: Eukaryota; Viridiplantae; Streptophyta; Magnoliopsida; Brassicales; Brassicaceae. The record is from RNAcentral.
UUCGUUCUCGUGUCCAUUGCCUCCCCGGUGGUUUGGCUUCCGUCACCGCCAGCCGCCAGGGAGGCUCUUUCUCCUCAUUCUAUUUCCUUUCAUGUGGUGUUUUCUUCUCUCCUUUCCGAUGUGGUCAGCUUCUCUUCUUUUCUAUUUCCUUUCAUGUGAAUAUUCAACUAACUUAAUCUUCAAAAAAAAAAAAAAAAAAAAAAAAAAAAAAAAAAAAAGAAUAUUCAACCAACUUUUAUAAAUGAUAUUCUAACCUUACCCGAACAGAAUUCGAAAGCCCAACUCUAAUUAGUACUCGUUUAGGACAAAAGUAAACUCUUCCGGAGAAGGUGAUGAUAGUAAAAAAAUUCAAACACAAAAGACAAUAAAUUGAAACUCCACAAUUCAUGAAAAUCAAAACAUUAAUAAAUUUAUUUAUCAAACAAAAAAUCCGAUAAAUAUACAUAAUAAACCAGUGUUCUAAAACGGGUUAUAUGGUCAUCAAACAGUAAAUAAACCUCUACCAGCUAGCUGUAAAAGCAAACG